Molecule: transfer RNA, 109 nt
Filed under: Candidatus Thorarchaeota archaeon
Lineage: Archaea; Promethearchaeati; Candidatus Thorarchaeota
Description: tRNA-Arg
Rfam family: tRNA (bases 44-100)
About the family: Transfer RNA (tRNA) molecules are approximately 80 nucleotides in length. Their secondary structure includes four short double-helical elements and three loops (D, anti-codon, and T loops).
Source: RNAcentral
GGGCCCGUUGCCUAGCCCGGCAUUAUACACAAUCCGUGUAUUUUGUGGUUCAUAGGGCGCCAGCCUUCUAAGUUGGAGUUCGUGUGUUCAAAUCACACCGGGCCCGCCA